Phrynosoma platyrhinos (Desert horned lizard) is the source of this 72-nucleotide non-coding RNA. Lineage: Eukaryota; Metazoa; Chordata; Lepidosauria; Squamata; Phrynosomatidae. The record is from the annotation of a GenBank genome assembly.
GCCAGUGUAGUGUAGUAGAUUGAGCAUGGGACUACGACUCUGGAGGUCAGGGUUCAAUUCCCUGCUUGGACA